ACCGCCGCGGCCCAUCAGCGAAGAUCGCUGAGCGGCGCCCGCCUUGCGGGCCUCCAGGACCCGGCCGCCGCCAUCCGGUGGGAAGCCGGGUGGCCUGCGGGUGAGGGGGGCGAGGCGGACGGAGGGCACCACACCCCCCGGGGGGCGGGGCGGGCGGAGAGCACCCUACAUCCGGGAGCCGGGGCGGCGCCUGGAGAGCGGAGCAGGCAGCGCUUUCUGCCCGCUGAGUGGGUCAGGCGCCGCCCCCUUGUGGUCUCGGCCUGCGGGCAGCCCUUUGGAGCGCGCGGGAACCGGACGCCCGCCCGAGGAGAGAGGAUCCAGGAGACCACUCCGGGCGGGAUCCGCGGAGCCUGGGGCCGGGCGGUUGGCCCACAUUAUAAGAGGGCCUGCGUUGCUUCUACCUCAAAGGCUUUAGGGUGUUUGUUAAUUCCCCGCCCCCCAACCUGAUGAUGCUCCAGGUAUUUACAGGCAGGUGCCCCAUAGGCUGUUUACUGGGAAGCAGAAUUGGUGGACUCCGUUCGGGGAUAUGAGGAAAGAUCCAUAAGCAGAGAGAAUAAAGCCUUUGCACUUACAUUUUACUUCUCUUAUCCCUCACCUCUACCACCUUUCCCCUUGACCCCCAAUGGGCUGCAGGUCACAUCAUCUUGUCCUUGAUAUAUUCAGAAAAUAGAAGCCCCUCAAACAACUUAGAAGCAGUCCCCGCAUGUCACCAAAUAAUAGACCACAGCUGGCAUGUGAAUGCUACCAGUUAGAGAUGUGUAGUAGUUUGUAAUUUCCUCAUGAAUAGUUCAAACUAGAGAUUUCUAAAUUAUUACUAAAUUUUAGUAUUAAUCUAAAUAUUGUUAAUAGAUUUUUGUAUUAUUACUAAAUGCAUAAUCUUUGGAGCAGAAGUUGUGGGAAAAGAAGAUUUGGACAAAUACCUGACAAGUUACCCGGUAUUUUACUUUCUUUGAAGCAAUUAAAGAGGUCUGUGUCUUGUCUUGAAUAAUUAAUUUACUUAGGUUGCUGUUUAAAAUGCUUUUAAAUUUUCAAAACACAUCUGUGAGGAGAGGUCUCCACAUCUUCAGUUGAAAACUGGAAGAAGCAAAAGGAAUAGAGUGUUUAUCUUUGAAAAAAGCACACCUAACUAAAAUAAUAAUAAAAAAUAUGCAGGUGGAUAGAAACUCAACAGCUUUCUUCAUAGGGUUUGAAACCAUAACUGAAGGAAAGGCUAUCUGCCAUCUCCACUUUGUCUGCUUCUUCAGUCAUCUCUCAUUAUUCAACUUACCUUCUAGUCAGGUCAAAUUACAGUUUCUCCAGACUCAUAUUGCUUUCAUAUAUCUCUUUGUCUUUGUACAUAAUACUCCUUUACCUUCCUAAUGCUUAUUUUACCUUCGAAAUUCAGCCAAUGUAUCAACUCUCCUAGAAAGUUCCAUUAUCUUUCCUCCAAGUACAGGUCUUUCCACUGUACUACCAUCGAGUUCUGGGAUGCUUCUCCUUGGUGGCAUUUUUUAUACCGUGAUAUAAUUCUCUCUUUACUUAUUCCUGUAUCAAGUUGUUAGGGCAAUGCCUUUAUCUCAAUAUUCUGUAAAUGUAGCAUGGACGGAUUGAUGAUGGACAGACAGGUGGGCGAGGGAAUAGCUACAAGGAUGGACAUAUACGUGGGAGAAAAGGGACGGACAAAUGUAUAAAUAGAUGUUUUAAGGUUGGGUAGGUGAGUGGAUGGAACUAAAGCUUGGAGAGUAAAUCUUGAUGAAGACUUGUUGGGAAACAAGAAGAUCUUGAUAUGAUGAACUCAAGGAGGUUGAUGGAAAGGGGUGGGGGAUAGUUGAGGAUCGGUCAUUGAAACCAUUAUUUCUUUUGGAAAAAUAUUGAGAAAACAUGUACUAAAGUUAAUAAAUGCUACUUUGUGAGGAAAAGAUGAUAUUAGUUUGAUAUUCUUAGUAUUUAAAGUGUAAAGGACUAACAUUUCCCUCUCCUAUUUAGUCUCCAUUUCUUUCUUAAUCUCUAGUGUAAGCAUUAUUUAAAAGUUAUUUGUUAUAGUAAAUAUCUGGACAUUCUCAUCAGUGUGGUUAUUCUUAAAAGUUGUCGGCAGGGUGCUAUGGCUCACGCUUGUAAUCCCAGCACUUUGGGAGGCCGAGGCAGGUGGAUCACGAGGUCAGGAGAUCGAGACCAUCCUGGCCAACAUGGUGAAACCCCGUCUCUACUAAAAAUACAAAAAUUAGCUGGGCGUGGUGGCGUGCGCCUGUAGUCCCAGCUACUCAAGAGGCUGAGGCAGGAGAAUCGCUUGAACCCAGGAGGCGGAGGUUGCAGUGAGCCGAGAUCGCGCCACUGCACUCCAGCCUAGGUGACAGAAUGAAACUCCGUCUCAAAAAAAAAAAAAAAAAAAAAGUUGUCUAAAGUAUUUUAUUGUUGUUGCCUAAACUAAUUGACUUCUGUGCUUUUGGUCCUUGAAAACACUGUUUUAAUAGUUACACUUUUUUCUGUAAUAAUACUUUACAUGUGUUAAAAGAAAAACUUUAGACAAAUUAAAUUUACCAGUUUAUUUGAGCAAAGAAUGACUCAGGAAUCAUGCAUCACUGAGAACCAAAAGUUCAGAGUGCUGCACAGUGUGAGCAAUGGACUUUUAUAGGCCCAACACAGAAGCAGAGGAGAGGAAUCACCUGAUUGGUUGGGCAUGGUGGCUGAUGCCUGUAAUCCCAGCAACUCGAUAGACUUACUAGGGAGGAUUGCUUGAGCCCAGGAGUUUGAGGCUGCAGUGAGCUGUGAUCACACCACUGCACUCCAGCCUGGGCAACAAAGCAACCCUCCUGCCCCCACCCUGACCCCAUCUGCUGUACUUGUCAGUAAGCUUGCUUUGGGUUUAUGAGAUCCAAUAAAUAUGGAUUCAUAUCAAACUGUUUGUCUCACCUUAUUCAUCAGUUGACACCUAUCAAAGGCAUAUCCCGGGCACUGUUCUGAACAUGUGAGGACAAGAGAUUCAAAAUGCUAAAGGCUCACAAUAUCACAGCAAGAUGCUAUUGGGAAUUAGAGAGACCAGCAUGUUGCUAACAAGAAAACCUGCGUAUGUGAUUGCAGAAUUCUACAGGUGGUCUUAAAGAAGUUUUCUCAUGGGCCAUAUUCAUAUUCUGUGCUUUAUUCAGCUUCAUAUUUUUUCUCUAGCAAGGUAUCAUCAAGAGUUUGCAGGAGGACAUUGUUACUCUUGCUGAAAUUCUGUCAGCAGGACUAAGGUUACAUAUUAUCAUGCCCCUUCUGCUUCCAAUAACAAAUGACCUUAAAAAUAGCAUGGCCUGAGAUCUAUGCCAAGAAAAUAUCCACAUUAUAUUUGUAAUUCACACUGUUCUGAAGUUGAAUUUGUGAUUAUUAUAUUGAGACUAUAUUAAAAUACUUCCCUAGUUGUAUUUAUUAUGCUCAUGAGAUUUGGUGAUUUAUUAUUAAACCUCUUAGAGUUAAUUAUGUUUAUUGCCCCAGUCUUUUCUGAAGGAAACUUGGGAAUUGUCUUUCUUAUCCCUAAUUAGGAAAUUACAAAAUGCUCUUCUGAGCACAUGGGAAUUGUUUUCCCUUGCUCCAUGAGACUGACCCAC
Molecule: long non-coding RNA, 3563 nt
Filed under: Homo sapiens (human)
Lineage: Eukaryota; Metazoa; Chordata; Mammalia; Primates; Hominidae
Description: non-protein coding lnc-CACNA1E-6:3
Source: RNAcentral